ACCAACCAAAAAAAUAACUGUCAUCAUUAUAAUAUUUUAAUUAAUUUAAUUUAUUUCCACCUAAACCUUUUUUGUGCUUUUUGUUUCGUCGAAGACUUUUUUGUUUUUCUGGAUGAUGGUUAGUUACGAGCUUUAUUCUCUCCCCAGCCCGUGCCCUUUUAAUAUGAAGCUAUAAAACGCAUUCACGCAUUUUCCCAACCCGUCGAAUUCGCUCUUUAUUUCGCCCUCGCAACGCUCUUAAAUGUGUACGUGAAAUUCCUACUUAUUUACAUUCGCACAUUACUGCAAGCUAAGCGGCAACCAACAAUACAAACAGCGUGGGCGCUUGCAAAUACGAGUAAACCCUAAGAUCAACCAAGUCAAAGCGGUGACUUUCUUAAUUUCACGCACAAAUAUAUAGCACGGAAAUGAAUUGCGAGUAAUACGCUUUUAUAUUGCGGUAAAAUAGUUCGUAGUAAAUUAAAUGUUGAAUGGGUUUUAUUUUUUCUUGGAAAGCUUAUGGAAUGGUUGAUCACAGGCUGUAUAUUGCAAUGAGCUACUCAAAUGUGUUAUUUACUGCGUUUUCUGUGGAAUUACUCCCCGGACGUAACGCAAAUUGCUUUGCUUGAUGUUGUUUCCGGUUUUGCUUGCUUUCUUCCAUGUGAAUCUAGCGUGAUAUUGACUUGAGGUCUAGCAUAAUUAUCACAGUAUUGAUUUAUCUGCAUGUUGUAUUUUAAAUUUCAAAACAAUGUGUGUUUGCGACGCUUUUACGGAAAAACCACGGAAGCAAUUUUUAUCAUUUUUGGUAAAAAGAUAUUUUAGAUCAAGGAAAAGGAAAUAAGAUAUUGAAUAAGAUAUGGAAUUAAUUAUAGUUAUCUAUAAUAUAAAAAUGAAUUGCAAAAUCUGUUGGUAAGCGCAUAACUCAACAACGCUUAGACCAAUUUGGCCAAUUCUUUUUUAAAUAUUUGUUAAAGUCCAAAGAUGGUUCUAACGGCGAGAAAAACUCGAAUAAUUACCGGGGACAGCCCUUUUGUAUAGGAUAAAAGUUGGCAUUGAGAUUAAAUCAUUAUAGUUAAAUAGUUGAAUCCGAGAUGUCGUGCUACAGUGCAUUAUUAUCAAUUCUUUAUAUAAUUAAUUUCUUUAAAAUAAUAUUGCGAAUCUUAUUGAUAGAAUUGGCACAUACUCCUACUAUGUCUAAAACAAGAGAGUAAAAACAAAUUACAUUUUUAUUAAACACUACCGGAACAAAAUCGUGGGCAAAAGCUAGUAAUUAUAUAAUUAGAUAAGGGUUAAGUUUAUUAUUAGUCUAUCUUGUCUCUUAAAAUUAAAAUUGAGAAUAUUAUUGACGAAUUGGGAAAUUUUAUUGACAGCUGAUGAAUAUUAUAAAAGCAUUAAUAUAGUUAUUUAGGUUCAAACAUUCCAAGAAUUAUUUACAUUACAAUUCAAUGACAUAGAGUGAUAACCUACAGAUAAACAAAUUUAUAUAUAAGUUUAAAAAUAUCAAUGAACUGUUUAAUUCUGCAAUUACUGUCAAGCAUACACUUGUUACAAAUUGCGCGUCUAAAAAUGAAGAAAACAUCGGUAAUAUUUUUUCUUGUGGCAGUAGUAUUGUUAAAUCUUAUUCAAAUCAAUGCACAAAAACCUGGAAAAUGUCCUCGUAUAACUGGCGAAUGUGAUAUGUCGAUGCCAUUCCGACACUGUUUUACAGAUUAUUGUUGUCCUAGAGAACAAGUUUGUUGCCCAGAUGCUUGUGAACGAAUGGCAUGUUUCACGCCCAGUCCGGAUGAAGUAAUUCCUGCAGUUGUUUAAAUUUAAACUGUUUUGGAAGAUAUAAAUAUUUUAAUUAUAUUAUAAUUGCCACAAGAUGGGAUUUAUUAUUGGAACACAAAAUGAAACAGUAAAUAGGAUACUAAUCAACGUUUACUUAUCGUAACUGUAAUUACAGCAGUAAAUUAAGCGUUACAUAAUUAAACAAUAAAUGUGUGGUGCGCUUAUGAAGCCCAGCAGUUGCUAGAUGGGAUAAAUUACGAUCAAAUACAACCGUUUGUUAUCAAUAAAGCAAUAAAACAAAACAUAUAUAACUACA
Molecule: long non-coding RNA, 2065 nt
Organism: Dalotia coriaria
Lineage: Eukaryota; Metazoa; Arthropoda; Insecta; Coleoptera; Staphylinidae
Exons: 2
Source: RefSeq, a predicted model, not a curated record